GAGUUUUAGAACAUUUCUUAUCUACAGCAUAAAACGCGCGAACCGAUUUGCACCUAUCUCUUUACUUUCUUAUUCAGGCAGGACAGCGGACAGGAGUUACAGAGCAACAGUGCAAGACAAUAAAAUACAAGGACUUUUUUUUAAGUUAACAGAACUAAGCUCCAUCCACAAACAUCAUGAUGCCGAAUAUCUCAACCAGUUUUUCAUUGUGGCUUAUUUGUUGUGUAAAUUUUAUAAACAGCGCUUCUAUUUUUGACACAAACAGACAGACCCAGUCAUCAAUAGAUGAUACAAUGGAAUCGCUACAGCCGAGCGUGCCUUCACGAACGUCAAAAUCAUCACAGAUUCUGGAAGAAGACGCAUUCUCACCGAUAGAAACAUGGCUUUCAUCUGAUGAUAAGACUAAGUCUAAAAUAUUAACAGCGUUUUUACAAGAGUUACCAGUCAUGGCAGAAGAAUAUGACGGGCCAGAAAUAAUUUCUAAACGACACGACUUCGGCUUUAUGGGAAAUCGUGGUAAAAGAAUGCAAGAAAAUAUUGUACACAGUGGCGAAGACUUCAUAAAUGCCAUACGUCCGGGAUUAGACAGAGCUAUUUCACCCCUUGCUAGACUUUUGGAAUCCCGCCGUCAUUCACAAGAAAUGUUAAAUAACAAACGUCAACCUGAUUUUGGUUUCCAUGCUGUACGGGGCUAAGUGUACUGAUGUCUUUGAUGAAAAUUUGAACGUAAAUGGAGUUGAACAGCUUGACCAUAAUAUCAAAAGACCAGUGCUAAGACUUGUGGACACCCAGCCGAGAAAAUGAUGUGCAUAUAAUCCAACAAUUUCUAAUGGCAUUUUUCUCUUUGUCGUCCAUUCACAUCAUAUUUAUAUACUUUUUCAGGACGUUUUAUGUAAUCUAAUAUUGGCCAACAUAAAAUCGAAGUCGACCAUUGUGUUUUCAUGGAAAUAUAUGAUGUGGGUUUGCCAGAAAAGUUGUUCGGCUUGCUCUGGACGAAUUCAAUCAUUCUGAAACUGAAACAGAAUGGAACCUUGGUUACAAAUAUAUAUAUUUAUUUACUUAAAAGGGGCUGUUGAACUUUCACGAUCAAGUUAACUUUUUUCAUUUGGCCAACAAAGUGUAAUAUUAUUUCAUAUUUUAAGUCCAAUUUGCCCAGGGAAUGUUUUGAUUUUAAACCACGAUUUUACUCAAAAUACAUUAUAAUGGAGGUUGUCAUAUUAAACUGGACUAACUUACAUGUGUACAUUAUAUUUCCUUUUCAAAGCGACGAUGCGCCAUUGGGAUUUGUAGCUAAAAUAUAAAAUUGCUCACGACUUAAGCCACGCUAAUAUCUAUUUAGAUUGAUUAUUUAGCUUUUUAUUAAGCAAGCAAAAUCAAAAUUUCAUAGCUAGAUAAUCCCCCGACUGGGAACCAAUUCAAUCGGAUUUGAAACAGGCCUAACAUUAAAUUUUCGUGGACAACAAAAUGGCGACGGGUUCGGGUCUUAUUGACUGGGGGGGGGGGGGCAUAGAUCACUGUAAUUUCGUUUCCACAUAUCUUUGUAAAUACUGAACGGAAUUGAACCAUUUGUGGACUGGUGUUCCCUUCAGAGAUUCGUCUGUCAUUGUAGUGUUAUUCCUAUUGCUUAAAAUGGCGGAACGGGACUUUAAUUGAGACAUAAUAUCUUUUAAUAUUAUUAUUAUACCAGUUAGACACAAUAAUAAUUUUGCAAGACUAAAUAUAGCGAAAUAAGACAAAUAGUUUUCACAUGUAAAUUGGAAUUUGCUUACUUAGCCCCAUAAUUAUUAAACAAUUCUGGCUUCGGUGGCAGUCGAAAAGUGCAUUUACAAUCUACGUGUUUGUGUAUGAAUUUUAAACGAUCUUCAACUUUAUGUAUAUAAUAUCCAUUUUCUAUACAUUCUUCUAUUUUAUGGUCAUUUAUUGACAACGCAGACCUAAUCAAGAACCCAAAACGUCGUAUCCGCAAAGGGCCUAUUGCGGUAACCCGCGAGUUCGUGAAGAUAUUAAGAUUUUAUCCGGUUUGAGUAUUCUUUUAUAGUAUAACUUACGAAAAACCAUUAGGGUCAAUCAGAUGAGAAAAAGAUAAUUCGUAAUUAUGAGAUGACCAAAUUUGUUUCAUUUGAUCGACCCUUAUGGGCUUCCACGUAAGCCGUAAUUAUAAGAUAAUUAAGUCUAAAUUACGAGAUAAUCAGAAAUAUUCAUAAGACUGACCUUUGUGGCCUUUCGUAAUAACUAAAGGUUGAAUUAAAGAAACGUUCUCCUUUAAGGUAAUUAAUAAUUAUUUUGCUCAAUUCACAAUUCAAAAUACAAUAGUUCAGCUGUCUCUUGGGUUUGUGGUGGUUCACUUACUUGAUAUAGAUACAUCUUCUCAAGCAAGUAUUUUAGGUAGGCCUACUGCCGUUCAUCUGCCACUCUCGUAGACAUUAAUUACGCCACUGUUCCUUGCAGUUUAUCUCCGUAAAACAUAAAUAAUCCAUUAAUAGAUAUCGGGAGGCACAAAAUGAACAAAUUUUACUGAAUCACCAAAUUAUGGCCAGUUAGCUGAAUUCAUUUCUAUGAUGGUAGUGUGGUGGACCCUGUUUAAGAGUUAUCUUCUCUUUCCAGAUUUGUAAAUAAUAGAACUUGUGCUUAAAUUGACUUAAUUAUUCUUAUAUUGCUAAAGAUUAUUUUUUCUUUUAAAAAAAUAAAUUAAAAACGGAUGAUUUAUUUUACAUAUUAUCACAUUUUCAUUCCAUGCUUACAUGUUAAUGUUAUCUUUAUGUAUUUAUUAUGUCACGUUUUC
This is a long non-coding RNA of Patella vulgata (common limpet), 2782 nucleotides long. RefSeq lists it as uncharacterized. The transcript is spliced from 4 exons. The record is from RefSeq and is a predicted model, not a curated record. Lineage: Eukaryota; Metazoa; Mollusca; Gastropoda; Patellidae.